RNAcentral lists this transfer RNA (91 nucleotides) under Lachnospiraceae bacterium A2. It matches the Rfam family "tRNA". Rfam says of the family: Transfer RNA (tRNA) molecules are approximately 80 nucleotides in length. Their secondary structure includes four short double-helical elements and three loops (D, anti-codon, and T loops). Further hydrogen bonds mediate the characteristic L-shaped molecular structure. tRNAs have two regions of fundamental functional importance: the anti-codon, which is responsible for specific mRNA codon recognition, and the 3' end, to which the tRNAs corresponding amino acid is attached (by aminoacyl-tRNA synthetases). tRNAs cope with the degeneracy of the genetic code in two manners: having more than one tRNA (with a specific anti-codon) for a particular amino acid; and 'wobble' base-pairing, i.e. permitting non-standard base-pairing at the 3rd anti-codon position. The record is from Rfam by way of RNAcentral. Lineage: Bacteria; Bacillati; Bacillota; Clostridia; Lachnospirales; Lachnospiraceae.
GGCAAGAUAGCCCUGACUCCGAACGUGGAGCAAUCAGGCAUGUUGGGUUCAGCAUUUGGACAAAACGCAGGUUCAAUUCCUGCUCUUGCUA